UGAAUUUCAGCAUUAAUAUAUGUUUCUUUACCAGGAAAUCCAGAUUAAUAUGGUCUGGAACAAUUAAAUGAAUUUAAAGUUAUUUCAUUCAUUUAGGGGAAAAUGAUGCCUAUUAUCUGUAGCAAAGACCAUGCUGAAUUAUCUCUGAAAAUAAUCUUAAUCCUCUACUUUCCCUUUUCCCCCGCUUUUUGCAUUUUUUUUCUUCCCACAAAAUAAGUCCUUGAUAAAACCAAAGUUACUAAAGAUUAAGCGAGGAAUUAAAAGAUACCAAGAUUGUCUUUAAGGUCCUGUCUCAAUGUUUCUUAAAAUUUGAAUAUAUUUUCCACAGCAUUGCAUUUUGGCUGUCUUAGGCAGAAGCAAGCAUAUGAGUUUGUGAGUCAAUUCUCAGUAACUAUUUGUCUUCUAAAUUUGUACAAAAUAGUAGGUCAAUAAUACCUAAUCCUAUUUGAGGCAUCACAUUUCAGCUUGGGACCACAGAGCUUCUCCUAUCAGCUAUGGCCACAUGAACCUGUCUUUGGCAACUGAGUGUUGCAACUUGGUCCCUCCCAGUCUGCCACUAUCCCUGUUGGAUUUAAGGAGCCCAGUUUGAUGACAGCAGUUCCCUCUGUCUUUCCUGGCCUGCAAAGAACAGCCACCACAGAGCUUUGAGGAUGCUGAGAUUCCCCUCAUGAAUGACUCAUUGUUCAGGCCUCUGGGAAAACUUCCCCACUUCUCUUGCCCAAAGUCCUUGAAACAAAAAUGCUGUGAAGGUUGUGUGCUGUGGUGCUCUUCACCCUGGAAAGGACACAGCUUCAUGGGGAGAAUAUGAGCAGAGGAAACAGUGAGAAGAAAGAUGAAUGAACUUGUCAAAUCCUUCCUAUCAGAGAGUGUGAAUGCAGGAGAUCCCAGCGGUGCCGAGUGCCAUUUUCUUGUUUCACUUUGUGUUCCAACGUGUGGCUUUGGAGAUACUCAUGGGUUGGUGAAGUAUGCUCAGUGGUUGCAUGUGUUGAAUGAGGAAUAUUUUGCAAUGGUAAACAUUUUGUUUUAUUCUUGAAUUUGUGUACCUUUAUGUUUAGAUGUAAUUAUGCAUUAAGUAUGAUUACCACAUUGACAACUAGAUGGCUGUUGAAGGUUAGCAUUGGGAAUGGUUUUAUUUUUCUAAACUAUUUAGCAAUAUUAAUUAAAUUCAGAAAAUUAAACAAAUUUAUUGACUUUAAGUAAUUUCUAAUUAAAAAUUAAUUCCAGGGAAAAAAUUUGUGAUCUAAAAAAAGUAAUUCCAUUAAUAGU
This is a non-coding RNA of Vicugna pacos (alpaca), 1266 nucleotides long. NCBI's taxonomy places the organism in Eukaryota, Metazoa, Chordata, Mammalia, Artiodactyla, Camelidae. The record is from RefSeq and is a predicted model, not a curated record.